Molecule: long non-coding RNA, 222 nt
Organism: Ipomoea nil (Japanese morning glory)
Lineage: Eukaryota; Viridiplantae; Streptophyta; Magnoliopsida; Solanales; Convolvulaceae
Exons: 2
Source: RefSeq, a predicted model, not a curated record
CUUUAAUUUUCACUCUAUUCAUAAUCUUUACUUCAAAUAUUCAAACUUUCUGUUCCUUCUGCAAUAUUCCAACAUAUCAAAGAAUAUACUGUAAUUUGUUGUUAUAGAAAACACUAUAAAACUUAGUUGAUUAGCUAGCUUUAUAACCAUAAACUUAUAAGUUUAGGGACUUCUAGGAGAAGCGAUCUAUUGGCCUUCUAGGUUAGGAUCAUAAGAUAGUGG